This 253-nucleotide ribosomal RNA is filed under the name uncultured bacterium. RNAcentral describes it as "partial 16S ribosomal RNA". It matches the Rfam family "Bacterial small subunit ribosomal RNA", at positions 524 to 776 of the family's 1533-position model. The record is from RNAcentral.
UACGUAGGGUGCAAGCGUUGUCCGGAAUUAUUGGGCGUAAAGAGCUCGUAGGCGGUUCGUCGCGUCGGCUGUGAAAUCCCGAGGCUCAACCUCGGGUCUGCAGUCGAUACGGGCGGACUGGAGUUCGGCAGGGGAGACUGGAAUUCCUGGUGUAGCGGUGAAAUGCGCAGAUAUCAGGAGGAGCACCGGUGGCGAAGGCGGGUCUCUGGGCCGAUACUGACGCUGAGGAGCGAAAGCGUGGGGAGCGAACAGG